UGGACUCCGGCAGCUGCUCUCUGCCGCCCGCGGGGGGCUCGGGGCGGGCGGUUUUACACAAACCGGGGAGGUAAGAGGCGUAUUUCUCUCCCCCCUCGCCCUCGUCCGUGGCCGGGAGCGCCCCCCCGCCCCCCCCGCCCGGCCCGGGGGUCGCGGCUGCCCCGCGCUGCUCCGCCCGGCCCCGGCCGCUGUCGGAGCCCCGGGGGGGCGGGCUGCGGGGGGCCGGGGCCGGCGGCGGGGAGGGGACCGGGGGUGCCGUGCCCCUCGGCUGCCCGGAGCGAAGGGCCCAUCCCAGGGCAGCGCCCGCUCCUGCCGUCUCACAAGCCCCCGGGCUUCCAGCCUGCGACAGAAACGGGCUGAACGCCCUAAAGCUGCCUUCGGAGGGGAUCGUCGUCCUCCCCGCUCUGCAUUAAAGCUGGCUUCAGCCUCGCUUAGUCCAGCCUGAGCCUCACUGAGCACUCCUGCUCACCGGUGUAAGACAACCUGAGAGCUGUGAUGGCCGUACCUUCUUGCUUGUUCACUGCGGAAAGGGAAAUCGGAUCGAACUUGUUGUUACGACGGCAAAGGUCCAGAGAACGGCUUAAAGAUGUAAAACAAGUCCUGAACGAACUUUCCCAAACCUGCUGUUGCUGUUCCAGAAACGAGCUUCUGCGGGCUCCUUCUGUCCCUCAGAUAUGCUGACCAGGGAGUUCGGAAGCGCCUGGUCCUUCUCGUUCACCCUCCUUUAUUCCGGGUCCCUCUCUGCACAGAGGCAGCGCUGCAGAGGCUCUCUCUGCCCAGAUUUCACUCUUUGCACAUUCCGGGUUUAUUUUGACUCUGCGUGUGCUGGUUUGUGCCCUGCUCUGCCCAGAUAUCACAUACAGGACCUGAUCACUUCAUUUGGGAUUUUACCUGAGAGAUCAGGUACGUGCUGUUUGAAUCACUGUUGGUGCCUCAGUCUCUCCCUGGGUCUGGCUCCUCAAGCUCUGGUGCCAGAUAAAUACGCUGUGAUGCAGGGAGCUCAUCUGAUUUUCCUGAAGCUGGGGAUUAAGUUCCUUCAACUUCAGUGGAAACAGUUCAGAGAUGGUAUUUACUGCUGAGGAAGCACAAAGAAUCAGCCUACAUUUUCUUCUUGAUAUGCCAAGUAGUGUCCUAACAGCAGACGGCCACGCCGAGGGGUGGUGGAGGGAGGCAGGAGGUCGGUGCCCAGCGGGAGUGCGGCCGGAGCCGGGGGUGCAGCUCUCUCCUCCGGUCUCACCGGCCACAAGCGCGGUCACCGCCGGCUUCUCUGCCCCCCCUCCCCGCAGAGCCAAGGCACGGGCCGGUUUGGGCUGCAGCCGGGAACUGCAGAGAGAGUUUUACUGGCUGUUGCUCUCCAACGGUAAGGUUUGCAUUGCUGAGCCCGGGACACUGCGCCCCGCAGGAGGCACCGCUCGCUUUUCCUGUGCAUUGUGCUGCUAAAAGGCUUCGUGGGCAGCUGCGUCCUGCCGAGCUGCCAAGCAACUCUGGUGGGAAGCGGCACCAGGAGAAGCCUGGCAGCGGGGUGCAGCCCCUCACGGGCAGCCCGCCUGGCCGCCGUGUCCCCCCCCCCCCCGCGCCCUCCAGCCCUGCCGCGGGGCCGGGGGCUGCCAGCCCUGCCCGGGGCUCUGGCUCUGCGGGGGCUGUGCCGGGUCACCCUCACCCUCUCAGAGUACCAAAACGCAGCCCCCCGCUCCCUCGUGCCCUGUCGAUCUCUCCGAGUGCGUGAGGAUCGGGACUCUCAGUUUUCUUGGGCGCCCGGAGCUCCUCGUCCUGGUCAGCGGGGCUGCGGGACCUGCCCUGGGACAUGUAAUUCCUCAACGUGUCGUCCUACCCCCUGCAGGGACUGCACACAAGAGAUGAAAGCACAGAAAACCAAACAAGCCAUUGGCGGUGCUCACUCAAUUGAUUUUUACACAAGAUUUGCCUUCAUGCACGAAGGAUGGAAAAAUGAUCCCAUUAAUAAUGAAUAACAAAAACAAAUGCAGGGAGGAAAUCAAUAGAAGCACAUCUGAU
Molecule: long non-coding RNA, 2013 nt
Organism: Tyto alba (common barn owl)
Lineage: Eukaryota; Metazoa; Chordata; Aves; Strigiformes; Tytonidae
Exons: 3
Source: RefSeq, a predicted model, not a curated record